GGGGGAAUAGCUCAUUGGUAGAGCAUGUGCUUAGCAUGCAUGAGGUCGUGAGUUAAAUCCCCAGUACUUCUC
RNAcentral lists this transfer RNA (72 nucleotides) under Camelus ferus (Wild Bactrian camel). It matches the Rfam family "tRNA". From Rfam's summary of the family: Transfer RNA (tRNA) molecules are approximately 80 nucleotides in length. Their secondary structure includes four short double-helical elements and three loops (D, anti-codon, and T loops). The record is from Rfam by way of RNAcentral. Lineage: Eukaryota; Metazoa; Chordata; Mammalia; Artiodactyla; Camelidae.